AUGAUGAUGCAACCGAUGGUGAAAAGUGGUACAUACCACAUCAUGGCAUCUACCAUCCAAAGAAGCCAGAUAAGCUACGGGUUGUUUUUGACUGCUCCGCGAAAUUCAAAGUUCCACGUCCAAGAAAAGGAUUGUGAUUAUCUGCGCUUUUUAUGGUGGAAAGAUGGGGACCCAAAUUCAGUGCUUCAAGAUUACCGAAUGAAAGUGCAUCUAUUCGGUGCAGUGUCUUCGCCCAGUUGCGCGAACUAUGGAUUAAGAUAUCUAGUCAAUGAGUACAGUCAAUCACAUGCAUUAGGCGCUCAGUUCAUCAUGAGAGAUUUUUAUGUCGAUGAUGGAGUUACAAGUGCAGAGACAAUAGAGAAGGCCAUUCAGUUGACAAAAGAAGCACGGGAGUUAUGUGCAAAGGGAGGGCUUCGGCUUCAUAAGUUUGUAUCAAAUGACGACACUGUUUUGCAGAGCAUACCAGCAUCAGAACGUGCUGUAAACUUUGAAACAAAAGAUCUCACCUUCAUGGACAUGCCGCUUGAGAGAGCACUGGGUAUUCAUUGGAACAUACAGAGUGAUAGCUUUAAAUUUCAUAUCCCACUAAAAGGUCAACCUACAACACGCCGUGGCAUACUGUCAACUGUUGCCUCCAUAUAUGAUCCUUUAGGCUUUGUAGCUCCAUAUGUUCUCAAUGGCAAGAGAAUUCUGCAAGAAAUGUGUCGCCAAGGGACGGGCUGGGAUGAUCCGCUCUCCCCUACACUCAGCCCACGGUGGGAGAGAUGGCAGAAUGACUUUGUCAAUUUGGAAAAAGUGAACAUACCACGAUGUUAUGUACCUCCUGAAUUUGGCGAGGUUUUGAAAACAGAAAUACAUAAUUUCUCUGAUGCAAGUACCUGUGGUUACGGUCAGUGUUCCUAUAUGAGAAUGAUAAAUGAGAAUGAUGAAAUUCAUUGCACUUUUCUCAUUGGCAAAGCCCGGGUUUCUCCUUCAAAGAUUAUUACGAUACCUAGAUUAGAGUUGACGGCAGCUGUGGUAUCAGUCAGAAUGAGCAAUAUACUCAGAGAAGAGCUUAACCUCACCAAUGCCGAUGAAUUCUUUUGGACCGACUCAAAAGUGGUUUUGGGUUACAUAAAUAAUGAUGCCCGCCGUUUUCACACAUUUGUAGCCAAUAGAGUCCAAAAAAUACGUCAAAGCACAGAACCUAAACAAUGGCUGUAUGUCCCAAUGGAUGAGAAUCCAGCAGACAAUGCUUCUAGAGGGAGAACAAUAAAGGAACUUCUCUCAUCUAACUGGUUCUCUGGUCCCUCAUUCUUGUGGGAAAAGGAAAUAACGACCACAGAUAUUGUGCCAGAUCUCCCCGUAGGAGAUCCAGAAGUAAAGAAAAUUCAGACAUUGCAAACAAGGACCACAGAAAGUAAAGAUCUUGUAGACCGUUUGUCUAAGUUUUCGUCUUGGUCUAAAACCAUCAAAGCCAUCGCACGCCUUCUGAGAUGGAUUAAGAGGGAUAAAACAAAUUUAUCGGCUUCUGUAAAUGAACAGGAGGAUGCUAAAUGUUUGAUUCUAAAAGGAGUACAAAGGCAAAUGUAUCAAAAAGAGAUCGAUGUGUUGAGUCGAGGAAAACAACUUCCAAGUCACAGUAAACUUCAUCACUUGGAUGCCUUCAUAGACAAGGAUGGUAUGAUCAAGGUGGGAGGAAGACUAAGUCACUCAUCAUACACUCAUUCAUUUAAGCAUCCACUGAUCCUUCCUAAAGAGCAUCAUGUAACAAAGCUGAUAAUUGCACACUGUCAUGAAAGCGUAAAGCAUCAAGGUAAAGGUUUCACAAUUAAUGAAAUCAGAUCGUGUGGCUAUUGGAUACCUGGAAUAAACAGAGCGGUCACAUCUUACAUUCGCAACUGUGUAACUUGCAGAAGGCUGAGAAGAACUGCUGAAGGACAGAGGAUGAGUGAUCUUCCCUCAGAACGUGUAGCGCCUUCUCCACCUUUUAUGUAUUGCGGUAUGGACUGCUUUGGUCCUUUCACAACUAAAGAAGGAAGAAAAAAUCACAAAAGAUACGGUCUGCUUCUAACAUGCCUGUGUUCAAGAGCUAUUCAUAUAGAAAUGUUAGAAGAUAUGUCCACAGAUGCGUUUAUUAACAGUCUAAGGUGCUUUAUUGCAAUUCGAGGUACAGUACGACAAAUAAGAUGUGACCAAGGUACCAAUUUUGUAGGCGCGAAGAACGAACUGAACUCAGCACUUAAGGAACUUGAUCCCGAAAGGCUCACUACUUUUCUGACAAAUAAACAGUGUGACUUUGUUCUGAAUGCCCCUCAUUCCAGCCAUGCAGGGGGUGUAUGGGAGUGGCAAAUCAAAACUGUACGGAGCAUUCUUAGUGCUACUGUCGCCCUUUCAUCAGGCAGGCUUGAUGAUGCUUCAUUGCGCACCUUGUUUUACGAAGCCAUGGCAGUAGUCAAUAGUCGCCCCCUUACAGUUGACAACCUGAAUGACCCCAAGAGCUUAGAACCGCUCACACCUAAUCAUCUGAUUACCAUGAAAUCCACCACAGCCCUACCACCACCUGGAAAGUUCAUAAGAGAGGAUGUGUAUACAAAAAAGAGAUGGAGACGUGUGCAGUACCUUACUGAACAGUUUUGGAGCAGAUGGAAAAUAGAGUAUCUUCGCAACAUUGCUGCUCGACAAUGCUGGCAUGCUCCAAAAAGGAACUUUCAAAUUGGUGACGUGAUCAUAGACAUUGAUGAAACAUUACCAAGGAGUGAAUGGAGAUUAGGAAGGAUUGUAGAGAUUGUUCUGAGCCCAGAUGGACUGGUAAGAAAGGCCAAAGUAGCACUUGGUGACAAAAGACUAAACAAGAAAGGAGAACGGAUUCAUAAAAUCUCAAUAGUAGAAAGGCCAGCUCAAAAGUUGGUCUUGUUGUUGGAAGCGGAGUAAUUGCCCCCCGAAAAGGCAUAAGGUUUGUGUAUUUGUAUACUGUUAGUUAAAUCAAGUAUUUGUGAAAAUCGCUGAAUAUGUCUAAUAAUGUUAAUGUACAUUUUUGUAUUGCUUGAUUCAGCUCUUACGGUGAUUGCUAGAGUAAAUGGACAAGUAAUAAAACUUCAAAUCAUCAGUAAAGUUUCGGCCAUCAUUCGGACGGGGUCCGCUACACUGUCAGUGAACCUCAGGUUGUCAGGAUCCUACCCUGAUAGUCUUGUCUGUCCUUUCUUUGUUUAAUGUGUUUUUGUUUAUUUUGUGCCUGAGCACAUGGCUGUGUCUUUGUUUGUGUUGGCCAUGUGCUCCUCUUGUCCUGCCUCCUCGUAUAUUGUGCUCACUUCACUCUUGUCUUUGCUGGUUUGUUUUGUGUGUGCCUUGUGUGCAUUCUCCUUGCUUGUGUCUUUAGACAUUCUCCCUCUUCUUUUGUGUUCCCAAUUCUGUUAAUUACUUUGUUCUCCCUGUUCAUUCUGCAUCUGGGUCUUCCCUUGCCAAACCGUGAUGCAGGUGUGAUGUCUGAUAUACUUACAUACCCACAGUUAACAUGGAUAUAUAUUGCACAUGUGUUUAAAUACAGUACAUACAGUACAUGUUGGAAAAUUGGGUCACAGUGGCUACUGGUAAUGUCAACACAGUAGACAUUAUAUGCUUCAAUGUCUUCUUGCAUUAAAAAUAUGAAUAAUACAGUUUUCUCUUUUAUGAAAUUGCAUUUGUAUGUGCAUUCAUUUUGCACGUGUGUCUAUACUUUGCCCUUGAUUUCCUAGACCUUUGAGGACAAAAGUAAUAGGUGUGCAUAUGUGUGUGCGUUAGUUUUGUAUUGCGUGAGAAUAUGUGUGUGUGUAAACUGGGCACCGUUCUAGGCUCUAAGUGACAGCACCCUCCCUUGUUGGUGCAUCUCUGUCUCAAAGACUAAUGGCACGAGGAGAAUCAAUUACCACCCCACGCUGGUGCGAUGGCAGUUGGGGGGAGUGAGGGGAGGCGGGGGUCUGUGACAGGUGUAACAUACUACACACAGUCCUCGCUGCCUGCACACACACCGCUGCUAGUCCCAUUUCAGACGUACUGGCCUAGAAGUAGCACCUCAGUGGAUGUUUCGCAAUUAAGAGCCAAAGAAAUGUCUGGCAGUUCUACCCAGGUGUAUUUGAUGGGGUAUUUCUGGAAGGUUUGCCCUUGAGAGGAAGAGAGAGUGCACACUUCCAAAUACACUUACACACCUGAAAUUCAAACAUGUCCCUCCUCGUUCCGAAGUGGUUCCGUCAUCAAGCUUGUGGGACACCAUUCGCCUCAAAGGGCAUUCCAGACGAACCAGAGGUUACAGAAGACACACCCUUGCAUCUAACAAGAGAAUCUUGGAUGAGCAAAGUAUUUUUUAUUUUACAAUAAAAAUCAAGAAAACAUCAGUUAUUUGACUGAAUUGUUCAUGCACAUGUGUUCUAAAGCUGUGCAAACCUAAAGGUGACAAUGACAAUGAAAUUGCCAAAGAUGUGUAAGUAAAAUAAAAAAAAAAAAAAAUAAAUAAAUAAAAUGCCAUUUGCAAAGCCUGUUUUCAUGCUGUGACAAAAUAUGUGCACGUGGGUGAGUGUGAGUUAUUUCAAGAUUAUAUGAACAUGCAAACUUGUGAAAUCCUGGCUAUGAAAUUGGCCUUAGCUGAAGAAUGGGCAGACCAUUUUAUGAUGUUUCAGUGUGCAAGAAGUGGCAUAUUAUCAAACAAAGGUGCAUUUACCAAGACUUAUUACAGUUUUUCUCGAUUGCUAACAGACUGUAACUGAUUAAUUUGUCCCAAUUUUCCAAAUCAUUCAUACAGUUCUCGAAACAAAGACAUGUUUCUCAAAACUUUUAACACAUUUCACCUGUUUGCACACACGUUCCAAUUUGCUCAGUGUUUUCUGCAAAAAUCUAAACAAAAACGCCAUCAUUUUGCACAGGUUUAACCACGUUUUCA
Cyprinus carpio carpio is the source of this 4891-nucleotide long non-coding RNA. The record is from Ensembl. NCBI's taxonomy places the organism in Eukaryota, Metazoa, Chordata, Actinopteri, Cypriniformes, Cyprinidae.